RNAcentral lists this long non-coding RNA (7571 nucleotides) under Triticum aestivum (bread wheat). Its description in RNAcentral is "long non-coding RNA (TAES_LNC005328)". The record is from RNAcentral. Lineage: Eukaryota; Viridiplantae; Streptophyta; Magnoliopsida; Poales; Poaceae.
UUUGAUAUAGGUCACACUUUUGCCCUAGGCAACAAGUACGCGACUAUAUCACCUUCCUUACCUUGUUUCUUUUGUUUGGCCCUUUUUGCACCUGUUUGUUUGCACUUGCACUAUAGAACCCCCUUUAGGCACUCCCCUCCUCUAUGCUACUUUUCCCUCUCAUCUCUCUCCUCAACUGAAGACCGGCAAGACAAGAUACACCAAGGAUUCUACUUUGGCAACCAGAUAGCACUGAAGACUUCUGCUACAGCCUCCUCGACCAAGUGCAACCCCGUAGAAUUAUGUUUACCCCUCCAGACUGUGAACCCAUCCCUUGACCCUUCGAGAUUUCACAAGACACACCAGCUCGAAUCCUUAACCAUGUGCUUAACCCACGGAAUUGCAAGAGAACCUGUUAAGCCCCGUAACUUUGCACUACACUGGGUUCAUUAUGGAACUAGUGGACAUAGUGGACGAGCACAUUGUCAUUCUAAGACGGCACAAGAACUGACGAUGCCAUAAGGAAGACCAAUUUGAGGAUAUAGGAAUAGAGGACAAAUGACUUCAUGAGUUUGUAUCAGUGACCCUGAGGAAUUAUCUGAGACUUUGGUAAAUCAUGAGUGAUGAUUGGAUUUGGCCUAUACGAGAUGAUGCUUUUGUUGGUAUAAGGUUAUUUGUUUGAAGGACUAGAUAGACUAUUGGCAUCUCAGAAACCGUGCUUAAGGAUAAGACAAUAAAAUGUUCACUCGCAUCCUUGAAACCCUUAAGCCCUACUAAGCCACAACAUGGUCGGGUCAUUACCAUAGGUCUUGACUCUAAAUCGAGAACACCUCGGACCAUACUCAACCGUGACCACCACCAAUUCCCCAGCCUACCUUAUGUACCCCAUGAACAGAAACUUCAUGGAGUACUUGGAAAAGUUGGUUGUCAUCUUUAUUUGGUGACCUACUUGCCUACCCGAAGACGGAAGAAGAACCGUUCAGCUGGUUAGGGAACAUCUGAAGACCACCAUGUCAAGGAGGAAGAACUAUACUAACCACCAUCGUCAAGAAGUGAACUUACUCGUCGAAGACCGUGCGUGUCUGCAAACCACUCCUCUCAGAAGGACCAAGCAUUUCCAUGUCAAAGGGAAGCUCACUCCAAGAUUUAACAACCCCCGCUGAGAUUGCUACGAGAUGAAAGAGAAGACAGUUGCCAACUGGAGUUACCACCUGAGUUACCCACUAUGCACAACGUUUUCCCACACAUCACAACCCUAGAAGUGUUUCCAACUUCCUGAUAAGCCCGAUCUCUACAAGGACAUCAAUCACCGAGCCAUCGACCUCCAGCCCAAUAUGACCUACGCGAGAGACCCCAAUUGCAAUCUGGAUCAAGCAGGACGACAAACAUGAAGCCACGCCAUCAAGUACUUCAAGGUUCAAUGGAGCACCAAACGGAAGCAGAAGUAGUAUGAGGACGUGAAGACUACCCCAAAUCCAAGUUUCUGUAUUCCUUUCCGCGCCUAGUCUGGGAAUCUCGGGGACGAGAUUCUUGUAACGGGGGUAGGUCUGUCACACCCUGAUUUUCAGGCCACUACACUUAAGCUAACAAUCAUGAUAAAAUGUGGUUUGACAAAAACUUUUGAGUGUUUUAGACCUUGCAUUGAUUGGAUUUUGUUUGUUGUGUGCAAGUGCUCUAAAAAUCAAAAAAAAUCCUCCAACUCUUAUACUCCUUCUCCUUGAUCCAAACCUUGCCCAAUGAUCAUGCCAUGUGUGUAGGACAUAAAAACAAUUUCUUGCAAAAAUAUUUUGGCCAAAAAGAAUUUUAUAAAUUAGGCUGUCCAAAAAGCCCUGAAUUGAGACUUGAACUAUAAGUACUUAAUUAAGGGUGUGAAAAAUCUUUCAAAAAGUAUAUUUGAAACCUAUUAGGUAUAGGGCUCCCAUAAACCACAAAAAUACAAUUUUAAAAGUUAUUUUACUAUUUUAUUUAAAGGCUUUUUCUUAAGGCUAGAAAUGGUCUUUAAUAGGUUAAAAUUAUUUUAAUGUUUCAAAAAUAUUUGAGAAAAUUUAGGGAAACUCAGUGGACAUAUAUUUUCCAUAUAUAUGAGUUUAAACACAUGGUCAUGUUCAAAAUAUUGGACAAAACCUCCCAAAACCAUUUCUGCCCAUUUCAAGGAUUUGAAAUAUUUCUACAGGAAAUAUUCCCCAACAAUUCCAAGAAAAUGCUAGCAUGUCACAUAUGACAUGUUUGAUGAUCUUGACAAGUCUCAUGUCAUGCAGAACAGUAUAACCCCAUGAAACCCUCUCAAAACCACUUCUGUCCUUUUUCAAGUUUGAACAACUUUGCACUAUCAAACAUGUCCAAAUGCUCUCAAACUUGGUGCACAUGCUCAAAUGGUGUAAUAAUGCAUCUAGACCAAAUGGCACAAGUUGGAGAGAAUGUUAUCUUGACCAAAGUGCCCCAAAACCCUCUCUGACCAGAAUCAAAUCUGAACAAGUUUGUACUACCAACUUUCUCUCCUUGACCCCAACUUUUGUGAGCAUGUUCACAUGACCAAAUGAGGCCACUACAACAAGUGGUGCAUCAAGGAGAAGUGAUUGCUCAACUAGAUCUACACAAGUCCAUUUUUGCUAAUUUCUAGGGUUUACAAAAGUUGCAUUGGCAACUUUGCCCAAAUGAGCUCCAAAUUGGUUGAAGGACCUAAAUUUAUGUGACAUUUCACCCUGUGGAGUAUCAUGCCAAAUGGAGAUCAUUUGCUUAACCAAACAAGCAUCAAACACCUUCUGCCACUUUACCAAAAUUCCAUUUUUGACCUCUUCCACUAAUCUCCAUGGGCUAAACUUUGUACCACAGCUGCUACUGACCCUCUUCUACCUCCAGUAAGUCCUGCCAGCCCCCAGCACAAUUAUUGGGGGGGGGGUGAAAACCCUCAUUUCCUUCUCUGGACAGCAACACUUCUAUCCUUUCUCACCUCUCCUUCUCACUCCAGCGCCAUCCAAGGGAUCCAAUGACAUUUCCACUUUGUUUACUCCCUCCCAGAGCUCCCAGACACAAGUGGCCAUGCGAGGACGCGGCAAAAAGCCACACAUGCCGGCCAAAGACGCGCUGUGGAGCAUGCUACCGUGCUCCCGACCGUUGACACCGCGCUCCCGUCCACCUCGGGCCGCCCGAGCGCGCCAGUCGACGCGCCUCGGCAUCCGCAUCACGCCAGCAGGUCUCCCACUUGCUCCCACGCCCUCCUCUCGCCCCGGCGGCGUGUGCCCGAGCGCCACCCGCACCCACCAAUCGUCGCCCGCGUCCUUGGCCCGCCUCGCGCUCGCUCCUCUCUCCCUCUCUCUCUCCCUGGUCAUAGACCACGCCCAGGAAGACCUCAGACUCGAAGCCAAGCCCUCCCAUGGCCUCUAGCGACGGCUACGGCCUCGCCGGCGCAUGGUCCCGCUGUGCACCUUCCCCCCAUUCUAUUUAAAGCCACUCCGAGUCCCCUCUCCACUCCUUUGGCUCCCUUUCUCUCCUGUACGCUCCCCAAGCCUACCCAUUCGUCCCCCCGAGCCCUUCUUGCUCCUCCAUGGCCGAAGCCGAGCCACCAGCCUUCCCUCAAAUUCCCGCGAAUGAGGCCUCCUCCUCCCCUUCUUUCUCCACUAGGCGAACCCCCUGACCACAACGGAACCCCUCACCACUUCUUCCUCUGCUCCGCUGCCUCGUAGCACCAAUGUCGCCAUCACCGUCGGCCUCGCCCGCCUUGGCCGACGCCCUACUCAACCCGGUGGCCCUGGGAGACCGUGCCACCCACAGUUAGGUGCGGCCGGGUCCCCUGAGCACGCCGAUGGGCGGAGCAUCCCCGGAGAUGCCCUGCAGAGCUGGCAAGCCACCGUCGACACCGCCCCGCCCCUGCUUUGUUCGAGCAGGAGGUUGGGGAUGAACCCGACAGAUGGGCCCCGUGUGUCAUCGACCCUGAGGGCCGGGCCCGCAGGCUAAGUGGACACGGCUUCUGCAGGAGCCGUCUCCCCGAGGCGAAGGCAUAUUCUGGGCGGACGCCUUCGACGUCACCGUUGCCGCCCCGUGCGGCCGUGCGGCUGGGCCAGGCCCAGUGCGCUGCCUCCCUAUGUCUCGCCCUGCGCACGCGGUUGCCGCCCAGAUCCAGCCUGUUUGGGUAAAAACAUUUUCCUUUUUCCUUUCUAUACAAUUUGCAAAAUCCAUAAACAAUUCAAAUUAACUCCAAAUUUGAUGAUUCAAACUUCUAGUAGUUUCUAAAUUCUUUCCCUAUCACAUGGUGCUACUUGCACAUUUUUACAGAAAUAUUUCUUUCACAAAUAAUUAGCAAAUCUUAUUUUUUCCAUUUCUGUGAUAAACUUUAGAAAAUCACAGAGGGCUCAAAUUUGAUCCAAAUGCCAUUAUUCAAAUUUCUAGAUGCUCCUGAGUUUAAAGCUUAGGUCAUGAACAUUUUUAUUAAUACUUUCUGUGCCACACAAUAUAAUGAGCCAUUUCUUCAUAUUUGUCAACUUUGCAAAUUCAUAGGAAAUUCAUUUGAACUCCAAAUCCAGUGAGACCAACUCCUAGAUGCUUCUAAAAUCAUGGUUUUUUAAAUGGGUGCCUUUGCUCAUUUUUCAAAAGUAUGUUUCUGUACACUUCUUACAAAUCCAUAAACCCCUUGAAUCCAUCAUAUCAAAAUGUUUAUAAAUAUCCACUAACCAAAUUCCAUUGAAACCACUCUGGUUAAAUUUCAUAUAACCAGAGAUGUCCUCGAAAAUUCAAAUCAAUAUUUUUAGAGCACUUUUAUUUUUCUUCCUUGUUGUGUUGUUAUUAUGGUUGCUUUCGACGAUAGUUGACGAAGUAGACGAAAUGCUCGGAGUUGGACCAGAGAUAUUUGAAGACCUCGAAGACUUUGUUAAAACAGGCAAGCAGCCCUUUGACCAUGUCUAUGAAACCCUUUUUAUGCAUUUCAUAUAGCACUUUAUUAUUGUUGCAUCGGAAUCAUGAUGAGAUGGUAGUCACUUUGGUGGGUUGCCUCCAUUUCCUCCUUGUUGAUACUUGCAUUGUGCAUGACCCUACCUUCUUAUGAGGGUUAUGCCGAUGGGAGUAGAUAGGAUGCUAAAGUAGUUGCUACGCAAAAAGGGACGGGAAUGUGCAUGGUGAUGGAGACAAAGUAUUUUCAAAAGACUUUUCGAAAACCCCGUCGGGUGCCACUUAUGCCGAGGGAGAUAAUGAGAUGGGUAACCACUUGAUGACGAAGUGGUAUACCGAGGCAAGUGUGUGUGUUGUUUUCAAAAACGGAUUAGAUUUAAGAUUUGUCGACUGUCCCAACCUUACAUGCGCAACCACUCUACCCUUGUAUGGGAAAGGGCAUUAUUGAUUACGUAGGCCGAUACUAGCUUGGAGCCCGCAUUACUAGUGACGGGAGAGUUGUUGGUGCGCUCUCUCGGGACGGGGUCGUGCCAGGUAGGGCGGCCAGGAACAUUUUUAUGGGGCACCGGACACACCGUUGGUACCCCGUGCCGGUGGUAUGUGAUGAAUAUGGGAGCGAGGCUCCACCAUUUUUAAAGUUGUGAAAUGUUGGGCACGGGGGUUACUACCAAUCGAGUGGACUCCAUGUUAGUGUCGCCUAGGGAAAGAUAGUGAUCGGGUGCUUACCCCGGGUACUUGAGGUACCGCGGGUUGUGGAUGACACGGAAGUUCCCCGGAUCUUGUGGGUAAAGUGUGCAACCUCUGCAGAGUGUAAAACUAUUCGAAUAGCCGUGUCCACGGUCAAGGACAGUUGGGCGGUGCUGCUUAAACUACGUCCACAUGUUUACAAACCAGUAUGUGUGUUUGGAUAAGUGGGAAGAACUACUUGGGUCAAGUCAAAGGACUUGACAUGAUUGAGUUGGGUUGAUGCCCACUCUAUUUAUGUUGAUAUUUGUAACUGGUCCUCAUGGUUAAUUGAAUUCUCCUGAUGCAUGUCUUACAAGUUGUUGAACAUGUCAUUGCACUCAAAACUAGCUUUCCGCAAAAAUUUACCUAUACCAUGCAUUGUUGUAUCUUGAACCAAAACAUGGGUUGCUUGCGAGUACAUUCAAAGUACUCAUUGGCUUGCCACUGGUUAUUUUAUUGGCCAGGCAUAAAAGACAAGAUAUAUUGAAGAGUUCUUUGGUGACGAUCGUGCGAGCUAGGACGCUUCCCAGUAAGAAUGCCUGUAGGGUUAAGGCAGAUGGCAUGGGUCCAAGUUGUUAUUGAAGUUUUCCGCUGCGAAGUUAUACUCAAGACUUGACCAUAAUGGUCAUAAUUUAUGUAAGACGGUAUGUAUGGAUGUAAGACUCUUGUUAUUCAGCUUUUGUGUGUUCAGUGAGCAUUGAUCUCUGGGAUCACUGUACACGUGCAUUAGGUGAUCACGACUCAUGAGUCGGGGUCCCCAUAGAGCUGGUAUCAGAGCCAUCCUGACUGUAGGAAGCCAUAGUUAGCAUGGUCGUUAGUUAGGGUAAAACUAUUUUCAAAACUAUCGCUAGUUUUCAAAAACUGUCUAUACUUCUCUUCCCCUUCUUAGUUUUUCUUCAAGGUAUAGUUUCCUUAUUGAUCUCUUCCCCUUCAAAACUUUUGGUCGCUAGAACCCUUAUGCCCCUGACCACUGGAUUCCUUCAAACCAUCAUGGAUAGUCUAGAAGGCGGAUGCCUUGUCAGACAUUCGCCCACGUCUUCUGAACACAAGUUUGGUGACACCACGACAGGAUGAUACCAAUAGAAGAUACCAUCUCGAGGAAUGAGGACAUCGGGACCCAGAAGCUGGUGACACCCUCGACGCUGCCCCAGGAUGAUGCAACCUUGGCCUACGAUGACCAGGGUAUAGGAAAUGCAAGAUCAUGAUAUACCUCGCUAAUAGAGUAACCAUGUCGUUACCGUUGUUGCAUCGGCAACCACCGGUGGAUGAUAACCUAGCCAUUUGGUCCGUCUCACUAUAGUGAGCAAGAAACGGUUAUCCUCAUCCCCCGCUCUUGGUGUCGAUGUUGUCAUCAACGUAACCGAAAUGUUGGACCUCUACUAUGCCUUGUUAAUGUCAUUGCAUAAAGGAUUACCUACUUGGUACCAUUGACGCCUUAGAAGACAAAAAGGGAUCAUCAUGAUUAAGAAGACAACAGAAGACCGAGUCAAUGCCUGCUACGAGGAGCCACCUUCACCCCAUCACUUCAACAGGCGAGAAGUUGUUGAAGAAUCUUUAGGCCUAACCCAGAUCGUUUCAUCAAACAACUACAAGAGACAUAGCAACACCUGAGGAAAACCCAGGAGACUGCAUGAGGCACAGAGCAAGCACGACUACUUAGUCCGAGAACCCCUAGGGUAGGAUGAGUCAUGUACCCCCUAUGCGCAGUCGAGUCCGUAUGAUGGUUCGAAUAGAGCCAUGAUUGUGUGUUGCUUGUUUUUAUUUGGUUGUGUUUUGAUAUAGGUCACACUUUUGCCCUAGGCAACAAGUACGCGACUAUAUCACCUUCCUUACCUUGUUUCUUUUGUUUGGCCCUUUUUGCACCUGUUUGUUUGCACUUGCACUAUAGAACCCCCUUUAGGCACUCCCCUCCUCUAUGCUACUUUUCCCUCUCAUCUCUCUCCUCAACUGAAGACCGGCAAGACAAGAUACACCAAGGAUUCUAC